Molecule: ribosomal RNA, 460 nt
Filed under: bacterium
Lineage: Bacteria
Description: bacterial SSU rRNA
Rfam family: Bacterial small subunit ribosomal RNA
Source: RNAcentral
AAUGCGCAGAUAUCAGGGGAACACCGGUGCGAAGGCGGGACUCUGGGCUGUAACUGACACUGAGGAGCGAAAGCAUGGGGAGCGAACAGGAUUAGAUACCCUGGUAGUCCACGCCGUAGCUAACGCAUUAAGUGCCCCGCCUGGGGAGUACGGUCGCAAGGCUAAAACUCAAAGAAUACGCCCGCACAAGCGGCGGAGCAUGCGGAUUAAUUCGAUGCAACGCGAAGAACCUUACCAAGGCUUGACAUACACGGACCGGAUUCUCAGGUGGUGCAUGGUUGUCGUCAGCUCGUGUCGUGAGAUGUUGGGUUAAGUCCCGCAACGAGCGCAACCCUCGUUCUAUGUUGCCAGGAUGGGAACUCAUAGGAGACUGCCGGGGUCAACUCGGAGGAAGGUGGGGAUGACGUCAAAUCAUCAUGCCCUUUAUGUCUUGGGCUUCACGCAUGCUACAAUGGCUGGU